UACGAAGGGGGCUAGCGUUGCUCGGAAUCACUGGGCGUAAAGCGCACGUAGGCGGCUUUCUAAGUCAGGGGUGAAAUCCUGGAGCUCAACUCCAGAACUGCCUUUGAUACUGAAGAUCUUGAGUUCGGGAGAGGUGAGUGGAACUGCGAGUGUAGAGGUGAAAUUCGUAGAUAUUCGCAAGAACACCAGUGGCGAAGGCGGCUCACUGGCCCGUAACUGACGCUGAGGCACGAAAGCGUGGGGAGCAAACAGG
This 253-nucleotide ribosomal RNA is filed under the name uncultured bacterium. Its description in RNAcentral is "partial 16S ribosomal RNA". It matches the Rfam family "Bacterial small subunit ribosomal RNA", at positions 524 to 776 of the family's 1533-position model. The record is from RNAcentral.